RNAcentral lists this unclassified non-coding RNA (183 nucleotides) under fungal sp. Its description in RNAcentral is "partial internal transcribed spacer region". The stretch from base 1 to 46 matches the Rfam family "Eukaryotic small subunit ribosomal RNA", at positions 1786 to 1831 of the family's 1831-position model. Lineage: Eukaryota; Fungi. The record is from RNAcentral.
AAGUCGUAACAAGGUAUCCGUAGGUGAACCUGCGGAUGGAUCAUUACAAAUUUAUAGCUGACGCUAUCUAUUUUACCAUUUGUGAAUAUAGAGACUCGUCUCUGUUAUUUUACUUGUCAUCAUGAUAAUUAUUGUUGUUUAUUUUAAGCAAAAAACUUUUAGCAACGGAUCUCUAGCUUCUCA